This 253-nucleotide ribosomal RNA is filed under the name uncultured bacterium. Its description in RNAcentral is "partial 16S ribosomal RNA". It matches the Rfam family "Bacterial small subunit ribosomal RNA", at positions 524 to 776 of the family's 1533-position model. The record is from RNAcentral.
UACGUAGGGACCGAGCGUUGUCCGGAAUCAUUGGGCGUAAAGAGCGUGUAGGCGGCCCCUUAAGUCCUGCGUGAAAUCCUGCGGCUCAACCGCAGACGGUCGUGGGAAACUGGAGGGCUAGAGUGCGGGAGAGGAGAGUGGAAUUCCCGGUGUAGCGGUGAAAUGCGCAGAUAUCGGGAAGAACACCAGUGGCGAAGGCGACUACCUGGCCUGUUCUUGACGCUGAGGCGCGAAAGCUAGGGGAGCAAACGGG